AUAAAUCUACGCCCUCUAUCACUUGUAUCCUUUUCCUCAGCAAUAAGAGCAUUUAACAGCUUAAGGAAAGAUAUUGUUGAAGGAUAUCGCUCUAUUCUUGCUUCUAUUUCAUUCAACUCAUAUCUCAUAUCGUAAACCUGAGCUGCCAUUGGUUUUGCACUGUUUCCAACACGAGUGCCAACAACUAAUGGCAAAUCAUACUGCUCAAG
This 209-nucleotide unclassified non-coding RNA is filed under the name Hevea brasiliensis (rubber tree). The record is from RNAcentral. Lineage: Eukaryota; Viridiplantae; Streptophyta; Magnoliopsida; Malpighiales; Euphorbiaceae.